GCUGAUUGCACCAACAAAUAGUUGAUGCAAUAUCGACUAUGUCGAAUAAAAUUCUGGGUAAGAUUAUGAUGAUGACAUUGUUUGCCCAUGUGUCUUGACCAAAUUACGUGCCAGCAGUCGCGGUAAUACGUAGAAGACUAGUGUUAUUCAUCUUUAAUAGGUUUAAAGGGUACCUAGACGGUAAAUCAAGCUUAGUUAGGGACUAAUUUACUAGAGUUACUUAUGAGGGGGUAUUAAAGUACUGCUGGUGUAGAGAUGAAAUUUUUUCAUACCUCUUUUCGUAUGAAAAAUAAUGGCACAGGUAUAGGCGAAAGCAUCCCCUUAUGUGAUAACUGACGUUGAAGGACGAAGGCUUUGUGUCGCGAACAGGAUUAGAUACCCCAGUAGUCAAAGCAGAAAAUGAUGAAUGUCAUAGAUUAGAUUUAAUAUCUUUUAUUCUAUAAAUGAAAGUGUAAGCAUUCCACCUCAAGAGUAAUUUGGCAACAUUGGAACUGAAAUCAUUAGACCGUUUCUGAAACCAGUAGUGAAGUAUGUUGUUUAAUUUGAUAAUCCGCAAAAAACCUUACCACAAUUUGAAUAUUUAUAUCGUUUUCCUUUUUUCAUGUGAUAAAUUAUUGGAUAAAAAAAGGAAAAAGGUAUCUUUACAAGCGUUGCACGGCUGUCUUUAGUUAAUGUCGUGAGACUAUGGUUAGUUCCAUUAAAUUAACGUAAACCCUUACUUUAUUUUUUAUAUAAAGUUGUUCCCCGCUAUAUUGGAUAUGAUAACAGGGAUUAAGACAAGUCAUCAUGGCCUAAAUAUUGUGGGCUAUAGACGUGCCACGUAAACCUAACAAAAGGAUGUGAAAUUGCGAAAUUGAGCUAAU
Molecule: ribosomal RNA, 863 nt
Filed under: Myochroidea porphyrospoda
Lineage: Eukaryota; Fungi; Ascomycota; Lecanoromycetes; Lecanorales
Description: SSU rRNA
Rfam family: Bacterial small subunit ribosomal RNA
Source: RNAcentral